CAUCACGAAGACAUCCCUAACUGCUGGUGGCAGUUUUUUGUGGGCUUGCCUUAAGGAGACACCUUUCAAAGCCUAAAAUAGCCAGUGUUUAGACAAUUGAUGGAAUGAGAAUGCUUCAGACACUGAAGGGAGGUGAUCAUAGAAUUAUGAUCCAGAAGAGAUACAGAUGUCACGAGUCAGCCUAUUUGGAGACAUCACCUGCAAUGAAUGAUUUCCAGAAACACUCACUCAGUGGAGUCAGGGAACAAUAAUGAAGGUUAACUGUCCAAAGGUUUUCAAAAAAGCUCUUAAUAUAUUACUCCAUGUUAAAAGUUGUCAGCACCAUUGGCAAGCAUUAAAGAUGAACAUGAAGGAGUUGUACUUUUCUGGAUGUGAUUAAUU
This 381-nucleotide long non-coding RNA is filed under the name Calidris pugnax (ruff). RNAcentral's name for it is "lncRNA (ENSCPUG00000009778.1)". The record is from RNAcentral. Lineage: Eukaryota; Metazoa; Chordata; Aves; Charadriiformes; Scolopacidae.